RNA transcript from Ailuropoda melanoleuca (giant panda), 1109 nucleotides. RefSeq lists it as uncharacterized. The record is from RefSeq and is a predicted model, not a curated record. NCBI's taxonomy places the organism in Eukaryota, Metazoa, Chordata, Mammalia, Carnivora, Ursidae. The transcript has 4 exons.
UGCAGGAACAAGUAAAGGGACUCUGGGAGGACAUGUGGGUUCUGCGUCCUCCUCUUCUCUUCACACCCCAGCAUCACUCUCUGUGUUUCUCCCCCUUACAGGUUCCUGGGCCCAGUCUGGGCUUACUCAGCCGCCCUCUGUGUCUGGGUCCCUGGGCCAGAAGGUUACCAUCUCCUGCACUGGAAGCAGCUCCAACAUCGGUGGUAGUUAUGUGAACUGGUUCCAAUAGUUCCCAGGAACCGCCCCCAGAACUGUCAUCUAUGGUAAUAACAACCGACCGUUGGGGAUCCCGGAUCGAUUUUCUGGCUCCAAGUCUGGCAGCUCAGCCACCCUGACCAUCACUGGACUCCAGGCUGAGGAUGAGCCGGAGUAUUACUGUGCAUUGUGGGAUGACAAUCUCAAUGCUCACACAGUGCUCCAGGCCUGAGGGGAAGUGAGACAAGAACCCACUUGCUCAUCCAUAGAAGGGGACACAUGCCAGCAGUUCCGGUUCAGCUUAGCCUGUGAUGCUACUUAUUCCUCUGCUGACUCCUUGUCCCCGGGUCCAUCUGGGGCACCACCGGGGAGUGAGGAUCUCCUGUCGCUUCUGUCCUCAGAGUCACUCAGAGCAGCUCAUUCCUUGACAAAGAGUCUCCAUGUGAACAGAAAUUUCUUGUUUCAUCAUCUGAGAAUGUGAUCUUAUAUGGACAUGGGGUUGCUGCAGAUGUAGUCAGCUAAGGGCUCUCCCCAUGGCUGAAGCCACCUCCAUCCUCCUCUGUGUGUGGUGUGACCUGAGCUCCAGCACCAGGGCUCAGGGGAGGGCCUGGGCAGUCACUGGAUGGAGACCAUUUGCACGGACAGCCCCUCUUGGGACAGAGGGUGGAGAAGAAAAGGAGGCCUGGGGCAUCCCAGCUCAGCCCACUGUGGGGACCAGGGCCUGUGUCACCGUGGCCUGUACUCCUGUCCACCUCAUGCCCCUCUCCUAUUGUACAGGUUCGCUGUCCCCGCCUGUGCUGACCCAGCCACCCUACCUCUCUGCAUCUCUGGAUCAUCUGCCAGACUCACCUGCACAUUCUGCACUGUGCGUGGUGUCAGCAGCUACCAAACAUACUGGUUCCAGCAGCAGCCAG